GACGAACGCUGGCGGCGUGCCUAACACAUGCAAGUCGAACGGAGUUAAGACUUCGGUUUUAACUUAGUGGCGAACGGGUGAGUAACGCGUGAGGAACCUGCCUCUCAGUGGGGGACAACAGUUGGAAACGACUGGCUAAUACCGCAUAAUGUUUCUGGACCGCAUGAUCUGGGAAACCCAAAGCUUUAUGUGCUGAGAGAUGGCCUCGCGUCUGAUUAGCUAGUUGGCGGGGUAACGGGCCCACCAAGGCGACGAUCAGUAGCCGGUCUGAGAGGAUGAACGGCCACAUUGGGACUGAGAUACGGCCCAGACUCCUACGGGAGGC
This 325-nucleotide ribosomal RNA is filed under the name uncultured bacterium. RNAcentral's name for it is "bacterial SSU rRNA". It matches the Rfam family "Bacterial small subunit ribosomal RNA", at positions 28 to 349 of the family's 1533-position model. The record is from RNAcentral.